RNAcentral lists this ribosomal RNA (238 nucleotides) under uncultured bacterium. Its description in RNAcentral is "partial 16S ribosomal RNA". It matches the Rfam family "Bacterial small subunit ribosomal RNA", at positions 95 to 334 of the family's 1533-position model. The record is from RNAcentral.
CCGGCGCACGGGUGAGUAACGCGUAUGUAAUCUACCUGUAACAGAGGGAUAACCCGGAGAAAUCCGGACUAAUACCUCAUAGCACAUAUUAUUCGCAUGAAUUUUAUGUUAAAGAGACUCGGUUACAGAUGAACAUGCGUUCCAUUAGCUAGUUGGCGGGGUUACGGCCCACCAAGGCAACGAUGGAUAGGGGUUCUGAGAGGAAGGUCCCUCACACUGGUACUGAGACACGGACCAG